GAGACGAUCCUGCAACUGGAGGAUUUAUUUGUUGCUCUACCAAAGAAUAUAACUGGUACCCGCUUUCCUUCCUUGCCUUGCCUUCGGCUCUAUGCUUUUUUCUCCUGCAGAAAUCUCGCAGAUCCCUCAGUGCAGACCGACAUCGGAAAGUCUUCUGUCUCUCGUCGCCUGCAGACGGUUUCUGUGAGGCCACCAAUCGCUGUGGUGAAGAUAUUCCUUGCACUGUGGCGUUCUGCGGUGAAGCAUUUUCUUGGGGCUGGCCCGCCCCCCGAGAACAACCAGAUGACUCGAGCUUCAAAGCAUAGACGGUCCUAGUAAACGGGCUCUCUUUCGCUUCGGCGUCCCGAAUUAAUGUCUUCAAGCCACGAUUUCCAUGGCUAGUAGCGGAUGAAGGACUGGCAUCAUCCAUUAUGGCAGGUACAUGUCGCUGAUCAUCAACGCAGCACACCCAGAGACUACUGGGUCGAUAUACAGAACAGCUCUGGAAAGGAUAACGGGUGCAACCUGGCGACCUAGUGAUUGGAAGACAUCAGAGAAUUACUUUCCUGGCACCGGGGCUCGAUGUCACCGUCAGAAGAUUCUCCAGGGUGACGAGCCACAACCCAACGAAACUGGACUGUCGUUCCUCAGUUGAGGGGCAAAGCUAUAAAAGCAAACAUGUCUGACUCUGUUGCUUCUGGAUGGCUGUGGGAUUGCAUGCAGCAAUUCAAACCGGUACAGCAGCGUAUCUCUGCACAUUUAUCGUGAGGUACCUGCUCGCGGCGAAUUAUGCCAGGGACUGAAUCACGGCUUCUGUACUUCGUCAUAAAGGUUGAGGCUCCUAACAGCAACUAUCGUUAAGCCUGACGCAGGUCUCUGUUGCUUGUGUGUGAAGGCAUUGAGGGACAUCGUGGCACCGGACAAAGUCGCUGUGGUGCCAGGCAACUAACAAAUACCCGCGCAAAGGAAAAUUCUAGAGGAACCAAAACGUGUGUUUCUUUGUAAACGCUGCACAUUCCAUAACUAUGCCAC
RNAcentral lists this long non-coding RNA (1011 nucleotides) under Toxoplasma gondii VEG. Lineage: Eukaryota; Apicomplexa; Conoidasida; Eucoccidiorida; Sarcocystidae. The record is from RNAcentral.